AUGAUUGUGAUUCUCCAAUCUUUGCUUCUUCGACAAAAAAAUUGGUGUUAUCUUCAAAAACAACACUUCCUAAGGAUUUGGUACAAGUUUUCUUUACUCCUCAAAUGGCUUCUCAGCUUCAUCAUUCAUUCGAAGCAGAGCAUAUACAACAUUCCGACACAAAUAAGCUUUUUAUUCAGUAAAAACUUAAGCAAGCAUUUACAAAUAAUUUGA
Non-coding RNA from Vicia faba (fava bean), 213 nucleotides. The record is from the annotation of a GenBank genome assembly. Lineage: Eukaryota; Viridiplantae; Streptophyta; Magnoliopsida; Fabales; Fabaceae.